UACGUAGGUGGCGAGCGUUGUCCGGAAUUACUGGGUGUAAAGGGCGUGUAGGCGGGUUCUUAAGUCAGAUGUGAAAUCCCGGGGCUCAACUCCGGAGCUGCAUCUGAAACUGGGGAUCUUGAGUGCUGGAGGGGAAAGUGGAAUUCCUAGUGUAGCGGUGAAAUGCGUAGAGAUUAGGAGGAACACCAGUGGCGAAGGCGGCUUUCUGGACAGCAACUGACGCUGAGGCGCGAAAGCCAGGGGAGCAAACGGGAUUAGAUACCCGUGUAGU
This 271-nucleotide ribosomal RNA is filed under the name uncultured prokaryote. RNAcentral describes it as "partial 16S ribosomal RNA". It matches the Rfam family "Bacterial small subunit ribosomal RNA", at positions 524 to 794 of the family's 1533-position model. The record is from RNAcentral.